This 4122-nucleotide long non-coding RNA is filed under the name Ananas comosus (pineapple). Its description in RNAcentral is "long non-coding RNA (ACOM_LNC044585)". Lineage: Eukaryota; Viridiplantae; Streptophyta; Magnoliopsida; Poales; Bromeliaceae. The record is from RNAcentral.
GAUCAAGGAUUUUUCUAGAGAAGCGUGCAGAAAUGUGAAACGACUACGCGUGAAGGGAUAUGCGGUUAGAAUGGUAUUGGUCUCCGGCUAGGAUAAUAGUAAUUCUCUAGAAUUGAGUGGAUGGUUGGUUGAAUAUUAUAAUCUGACGGGUGAAAAUGGUCUUAAGGGUAGAUCUAACGUCCGAAAACUUAUGAGUACAAAAAAAUCUAUACUCUUUAAAAGUAUAGUAACUGGAUUCUGUAUAUAUAUAUAUAUAUAUAUAUAUAUAUGUAUGUAUAUAUGUAUAUGUAUGUACAUACAUAUACAUAUAUACAUACAUAUAUAUAUAUAUAUAUAUAUAUAUAUAUAUAUAUACAUAUACAUAUACAUAUACAUAUAUAUAUAUAUACANNNNNNNNNNNNNNNNNNNNNNNNNGCCUGUUUUAAAAUAUCUUAUUAGUUAAGAGGUGUGUUCUUACUUUUUUAUACCUAAACUAUCAUAAUACUAUUACUUUUAUAACGCAUAUAUCCACAUCCAUCGUGGAGCCAAAGUAAUUAAUGGAGGAACAGAAGUAAAUUUAAAAUCAUCUUCAUAACAUAUAAUCACUUGCAAAUAAAUAAAUAUUUUUUUUACAAUAUAUCAGGAUAUUCAUAUCCAUUUGAGGUGUAAUUGUUCCCAUGCAAAGUGGAUAAGGUCAUUUUAGGGCAAAGCCAUUAUAAUUUGUUUUUUUAAAAAAUAGUGUAGAAAAACGUUUGUGAUACUUAUUAUUAUUUAAAUUAAUUUUUGUAAUUGUGAAUCAAACCUAUAACGGACUUCAUAGGAGCCAAAUAAUUUACGCCUUUACUUUUUUUUUUCGCCUUUUAAUACAAAACAAAAUAAAUAUGAUUUUUUAAAUUGCUAUCAAAGUAUCCGAUUGAAAACGAAAGUUUUCCUUAAAUAUUAGAAUGUCUCGAAUUUAAUUAUUCGAAUUUAUUUUAUGUCCCGAUCGCAAAUUUACGAGUUGCCAAACAAAUUUUGGAAAACAGUAUUAUAAGAUGAAUAAGAAAAAUCGUGUGGAAGCAGAAGCUCGACCAAUAGGAUCAUAUCGGAUUUGAAGAAUCCAUUAAAAAAAAAAUUCUUUAUGGCCCUAAAGGCGACAGCUGUAUAUUACUUUCCAAAAUAUUAUACUUUAUUUCAUAUAUUGAAGUUCUAUCCUCUUUCGUCCAUAAUUUUUUUUCCUGUAGAAAAUUUUUUUUACUGUAAAUCAUUAUAUUCUAUCUUAUUAACUGUUUUGUAUUGUGUUACUUUGUUAUUGCCGUUUUUCAUUAUUUUUUUAUGCCCUUCCAUUCAUAAAUAAAGAAAAAAUAUAUAACGAACUUACUGGUUAAUUCCAAUUUAUUUAUGGCUAUUUUUACAUUGUUUUCUAUCAAGAUCAAUCUUUGUAUCACAUGAUACUAUUAACACUCCGAAACUCCUCAUUUAUCUUCUUUUUUAUGCAUUAUUAUAAUUAUAUAUAGUUCUGUUCAUCACCAUAAUAUGACAAUCGAAAAAUAUAUUUUAUGAGCAUUUUUUUUAAUAGCAUUAAUUUUCUAAACAAUUAUAUAGUUUUAAAACAUAAAAUUAAGCAAUUUAAAUGACUAGCAGUUUAGAUGUGUUCAAAGACAUUAAUUUCUUCUGUCGGUUUAUUAGUAGGGCAAUAAGCGUUAUGAACAAAAAGCAACAACUCUAAUUCAUCACAGUAUUGAAAGCAUCAAAUAGAAUCAUGCAAGAUUGUAAAAAACUAUAUAAAUAAAAGCAUAUAUAUAUUAUAUAUUAUAUAUAGAUAAUAAUUUACAUAAUUCUGUCGACGGGACCCUAAAUCUACGUACUUAAGGACGAAUGAAACUUUUAUUAUCAUCGAAAGUCACUACAAUAAAAGCGGAUCUAUAGCGACAUUUUAAUAUAGUAAAUGUCAAAAAAGUGCCUGCUAGCUAAAAUUACCGACACUUUUAAAAAGUGUUGCUAUAUUGUGAUACGUUAGUAUAUCUUAGUGACAGUUAAGAGUGUCGCUAUAAUCUAAAAAGUGCUGCUACAUUUAAUCAAACAAUUAUUAUAUAGCACUUUUAGCAACUAGCGAAACUUCUAUCUCUGUUGCGCUGCGGUGCUGAGUGAGGACGACCAGGAAGACUCUUCGUCUAGAAUUUCAGUGGACUUGAGUAAAGAGAGAAAGAAAAUGGGUAAUUGAUUUUCAUUUUUUUUCUUAUCUGUUUGUAACUCGAUAAAUGGACUGGACUGUUUGGCAUGUGUGGUUGGUAGAGUAUCUUUAUUUUUGGAUUCGGAAUUGGCUUUUUAUAGGCAAUAAGUAGAUUUUUUUUAAGUUUUAACAUCAAAUAGAGACAUACUCAAAAAUGUCACCAACAUGUGUCUCUAUAUACUAAUUCUUAGUUAGUGAGUACAAAAAGUGCCUCUUUUUAGAAUAUCUAAAUUGUAAAAUACAUCUCAAGGCAAAAAAAUCCACGAAAUAAAAUUCAUUAUCUAACUAGCUGAUUCUAACUAACAUUAUAAUAGUUCGAUUUCUAGACUAGAAAUAAUUUGAAGCAUUCAUCAAAUCAAAUAGAAAAAACUAGUCGAGUUAUAUCUUGUAUGUCGUGUAUAUAUGACUAUUGCAAGUUCAUCGUGAUAAUUACUAUGAAAAUAAAUAUAGAAGCCUUGGAGGUCGUUGUAUUUAGUUCAACCAGCACAUACUAUAGUUGAAACUGAUCCAAAUUAGCUACAGCUUCAGCCUCAAGCAGCUUGGCAAAUAAUUGUUCAUCUAAUUUAAAGAUGUAAAAAAGCGUACAUCUUCACGUAACAAAAGCCAGAAAUUGAACGAUAAAUGCAAAUUCUACAACUCAAAAGCCUGUGUAUAAGUGCCUGCUACAACCUUCAUUUACUAGAGCUAAGCCAAACUCAUUUUAGUAUUAUGCACAAAAAAAAAAAAAAAAAAAGUUUUUCUUUUAAUUUUUAGCAAGUAAGGCAGUAAUCUCUCCUGUUGGUGUUAUUAAUUUUUAUUUUAAAUUAUUAUUUGACUAUCAUAUUUUAUUCUUAUAGAUUAUUUAUUUGUCAGUUAUCAACUAAAUUCUAAGAAAAAUUUUUAUUUUAACCCAUAAUUUUUUAUCUUUUUUUUUUAGAGAGAUAGGUAGAUUACACGCUACCCACUCUCUUGUAUUAUCUUAGAAUAAACUUAGCUGAAUAUGGAAUCAACUAAGUUCGAACUUGACAUCUCGGAACCAACAUCAAUCCUUUGUCACUGCAUCAGAAAAACGAUCGGCAUAUAUUUUAUCCUUGUUGAAGAAUUGAAUAAAACUAUAUUAUUCUAGAUUUAUCCAUUUACAAACAGGACCCUGCGGAUCAGGAAUGAACUUGUGCAUCUUGAUAUAUAAAUGUACACAACAUAUGUGUUAAAAAAAUAAAACACAAAUGUUGUCGGAGAUCUCCACCUUUUUGACGUGCAGGAUACUAGUGGGCCUACUUGGAUGAUGUGACGUCAUCAUUGAGGCUUUGACCAACAACAAAGUGUCGGCACGAGAGCAUUGAAGAGGAGAGAGAGAGAUAGAGAGAGUGCGUUGUAGAGCUGAGAAGAAGAGGAUGCCAAAUAAAAAUAAUAAUAAUAAUAAUAAUAAUAAUAAUAAAGAGAAUCUCACACUAAGCUUUACUGGAUCGUGUUAAUGGAGAAAUAUAAUUAUAAUUGCUUCCACUACAUGUGAAAACUACGUACUAACACUUCUCCUUUUCUUUUCUUUUUUUGGGUUUUUUUUUUUAAUUUGUGAUCGAAGUGCUAGUAUUCUAUGUUUUAGAGAGGCUUUUUUAAUAAUUAUUUACAUACAACUUCUACAUAUAUGCUUACUCUAUUGUAUGUAUCUGCUGCGACGAAAUUCGUACCCCUUAAUCCGAUCAAGGAUUUUUCUAGAGAAGCGUGCAGAAAUGUGAAACGACUACGCGUGAAGGGAUAUGCGGUUAGAAUGGUAUUGGUCUCCGGCUAGGAUAAUAGUAAUUCUCUAGAAUGAGUGUGGAUGGUUGGUUUGAAUAUUAUAACUGACGGGUGGAAAUGGUCUUUAAGGGUAGAUCUAACGUCCCGAAAUUAUGAGUACAAAAAAAUCUAUACUCUUUAAAAGUAUAGCUAACUGGAUUCUGUAUAUAUAUAU